Long non-coding RNA from Anguilla anguilla (European eel), 1789 nucleotides. RefSeq lists it as uncharacterized. Lineage: Eukaryota; Metazoa; Chordata; Actinopteri; Anguilliformes; Anguillidae. The record is from RefSeq and is a predicted model, not a curated record. The transcript has 2 exons.
AACCUCCCUCAGUCAGACUGCACAGAGACUGCACUGCUGCAGCUGGGACCUACUGCAGGUGCUGAGGGGGGAGGCACUGAUCUGGAACACCCGUAUUUUCAACUGGGCUGUAGGGGGCAACAAUGAGCUACAGCCCUGAAUGCACACCUCUCUGUACUGAAGAGGAGCUGCUCUGUGUCACACACAGAACCCAUAGUAGAGCUGCUGCUGAAACACACACACUUCUGUACCACAACACCACAGGCAUCACAGUGUAUAUCUGCUCACAAGCAGCAAUCAUCACCAAGGACGUGUCUGAAUCAGAGCACUUUCUUACUACUGAUCAUUCUAGUUGGAUAUGCUUUGUUAAAAGUUGUUAAGGUAAAUUUCCAAAAAUGGAGUACACUUAAAAAUAGCUGGAUUAAAUACCCCCAGUUUUGUGUUUAGUAGACAGUACAUGCUUUGAGGAUACAAUAAUUCGGAGGCUGAAUCUGGACUUGAAUGCAAAGUCCAGAUUCACAAAAUCCUUGUGUCUCUAAGUUGACCCAAAAGCAGAGGAUGAGUACUUUCACCCAGAGGUAUAACGAGUGGGAUUUCAAAUUAAGUGCUAGCAGAAGGAAAAUUCACAUCAAUUUCACUUCUAUCCAGGUGGGAUCUCACCUGCCCUGGACUGAAACAUAGUAUCAAAUUUUACAUUUUGCUGUGAUAUAAUUCCUUUGAUUGGUCUGAUAAUUAUUAUUUUUUUAAUUGUGUGAAUGUGUCAGAAAAACCAGUGAUUGGAUGCAUUUGUCCUUUCAUCCAUGUCUUCCAAGUUUAAAGUAUGCAAUAUUCUUAUCAGUUCUAACCUUCAAGCAUUUUACUUUGCACAAUCAGCAAGAAUAUAAUUCUCUGUCAAAGUCAAAAGUUAGUAUAUACGGGAGAUAUCCACAUCAUAUUAUAUUUCAGAUAUGGAUUCAGGUCUUGAUUAUUAUUACCAGAACAGUUUUGAUUUUGGUGAACAAGUGUAUAAUUGUGUACCUUGAAUUGUCAAAGAUGGGAUACAGAACACACAAGGGGUCUUACACACACCAUACAGAAAGUGUUUACUGUAUCAGUCCCUCUACAAAUAACAUGCAAUAACUGCAAAACCUGUCAUGAUUUAGUUCAAAGAUUGAAGGAUAACGUGAAAUAGGAAUUGAUAACUGCAUUAUAUUUAUCAUGUGAUUUCAAAGAUGACUUGUGAUUGGUUGGUUGCUGGUCCAAAUUCAAAGUUCUUUGGCUUUCUAGGCAGUCAUUAAAUGAAACCAGUAAGCAUGUAUGCAGCCUCCUGAAUUUUGUCUACCACGGUAGUAGUUUGAAAUCAAUGUGAGUCCUGUUCUUAAAUCUAAUUUACACAUGUGUACAGUUCGUGAAGAUAAUCAUAUUAUUAUCUUCACGAACUGUACACAUGUGUAAAUUAGACUGUAAUAUGACUGUAAUUAUGUUCAGUUGUCUGUCAGCCUUCUGUCACUUUAGAACUUACACUGACAUGAUGAAAUAUAUGUCCAUACAUAUGCUUACAUUUAGGCAAAAGAAUUGCUGAUACAUUUUCCAUUGACAUUUUUAUGUUAAGGGUUAGGGUUAGGGUUAGGGGGGCAUGUUCUGUAUUAAGGAGUCAAACUGUUUGAAUCACCCUACCAGCAUGGACAAGACUACUGUGUGAAUUCGACACUGCAUUUCUUUCAUUAUCAACUCAUCAACUCAUCAAAGAUGAAUCUGCUGCACAGUAACUGCCUUCCGUCUAAUACACCUCUCUGCUCUCACAGGAAUGCCUUCUGUGACGACAUUGAUG